UACGUAGGGUGCGAGCGUUAAUCGGAAUUACUGGGCGUAAAGCGUGCGCAGGCGGUUCGUUGUGUCGGUGGUGAAAUCCCCGGGCUUAACCUGGGAAUGGCCAUGGAAACUGGCGAACUGGAGUGCGGCAGAGGGGGGUGGAAUUCCACGUGUAGCAGUGAAAUGCGUAGAGAUCGGAAGGAACAUCAGUGGCGAAGGCGACUUCCUGGACCAAUACUGACGCUCAGGUGCGAAAGCGUGGGGAGCAAACAGG
This 253-nucleotide ribosomal RNA is filed under the name uncultured bacterium. RNAcentral's name for it is "partial 16S ribosomal RNA". It matches the Rfam family "Bacterial small subunit ribosomal RNA", at positions 524 to 776 of the family's 1533-position model. The record is from RNAcentral.